Molecule: non-coding RNA, 250 nt
Organism: Paramuricea clavata
Lineage: Eukaryota; Metazoa; Cnidaria; Anthozoa; Malacalcyonacea; Plexauridae
Source: the annotation of a GenBank genome assembly
GGCGAUUGUAAUAGAACAACUGGCAUUAUAGAAACUGGUUUCUUCCCCAAAGUAAAACACACAGUAGACUUCCCUUGUUCUGUAAGUCAGAAUACAUUGACUCUGUCUUUAAAAGCAGUGGACAAAACAGCUGUCGUACUGGACGCAUACCUAAAUUGGAAAAAUCCACCACGUAAGUAUAAUUGAUUAUUUAACAAAAUUUAUACUGGUAGCUACUGAACGACAGCCAGGGGUGCAACUUGACUGUAGG